RNAcentral lists this ribosomal RNA (500 nucleotides) under uncultured bacterium. RNAcentral's name for it is "partial 16S ribosomal RNA". It matches the Rfam family "Bacterial small subunit ribosomal RNA", at positions 30 to 523 of the family's 1533-position model. The record is from RNAcentral.
AUUGAACGCUGGCGGAAUGCUUUACACAUGCAAGUCGAACGGCAGCACGGACUUCGGUCUGGUGGCGAGUGGCGAACGGGUGAGUAACAUAUCGGAACGUAUCCAAUAAUGGGGGAUAACGAGUCGAAAGAUUCGCUAAUACCGCAUACGCCCUACGGGGGAAAGCUGGGGACCUUCGGGCCUGGCGUUAAUGGAGCGGCCGAUAUCUGAUUAGCUAGUUGGUGAGGUAAAGGCUCACCAAGGCGACGAUCAGUAGCUGGUCUGAGAGGACGACCAGACACACUGGAACUGAGACACGGUCCAGACUCCUACGGGAGGCAGCAGUGGGGAAUUUUGGACAAUGUGCGCAAGCCUGAUCCAGCCAUUCCGCGUGAGUGAAGAAGGCCUUCGGGUUGUAAAGCUCUUUCGCAAGGGAAGAAAACUUAGCCACUAACAUUGGUUGAGGUUGACGGUACCUUGAUAAGAAGCACCGGCUAACUACGUGCCAGCCGCCGCCGUAA